AUUCUAAAAGCCCUACUCUCUUUCUCAACUCUGGAAUUUUACCACGUAAAUCGCUCACGACGAUCACCAUUUUCCAGUCGCCCAAGCUGGUUGCCGAUCUCCCACAUCCAGUCAAUGUUGAAUCUCGUCCAAUUUUUGCAAGAAUCGCGUAUUGACGGUCAGUUCUUGACUUUUUUUCAGUAACUUCGUUAUUUCUUUAAUUUUUUCAUGGGCUUUUCGUUAUUUGAUGUGUUCCAUUGUUGAUUAAUGUGUUAACAAAUUAGUAUAAUUUAUAGUGAGGGUGAUGGGUUUCUUCUGACUGCUUUAAGGUUAUUAACAGUUCAAUGAUUUUUAUGCAAUGUUUGGUUGUUUAAUUACUGUGUUAACUGUGAGAAAAAAGAAUGUUCGAAGAUGAUCAAAUAAAAGAUGCAACUAAGCUAACGUAGACUUCUCGAUUUGGUAGUGAUCAGGUAUUAUAUAUUCUGUGGUAAAUUAUGUGAAAAAAGGGUUGUAUGUCAUAACAUUUAUUAACUUCUUAUCUUUGAUAUUAUAUUUCUACACUGUACAAUUACUCAUAGAUUUUGAAUCGUAUUCACAAGAACUUUUAAUUUCUCAAUAACUAAUGAUAUUUAAUGAAAAUGUGACUCCCACUUCCACUUCCAAAUCACAAUUUUAGUUUGCAAAUUUGUUGGGUUCACAAAUUUAAGGAUUCCUUACAGUUUACAAUCUUUGAACCAGUUAGGUAUCCUAGGACCUAAGAGAAGUUCGACGAUGCAAUUUGGAGUUGAAAACAUAUUUCGAUAAUUGGUUUUUUUGUUUACUUCUCUUGACUUUCUUAUAGGCUUCGCUAGUUUACCCAACAGAAGAAAACUUACUAUUUUAAACAUUUUGCUCUAUUUGUUUUCCAUAAAAGGGAAGGAAAAUAAGGAGAAAGUAUAGGGAAACAAGUGGAACAAAAUAAAAGCAAGGACAAAAUCUGUGAACCCAAUAGGAAUUGGAGAAUAUAUACCUUGUCGACUUUGAUGUGUGUCAACUAAAAUACUUGUAGUAUGCCCAACCGAUAGCUAUUUCUCAUCCUGUCACAUUUCCCCCUUUUUUUAUGUGAAGAAGGAAUGAACAUUAAACAUUCGUUCCUCUUGUUUCAUUAUUACUUCUAUUAUACUCUAAACAUUGGAGUAGGCCUGCAAGAUUCAAUUAGGCCCUGUUCUCUUUACCGUUUUCGGGCCGUUUUCUGUUUUCGAUUUUUCAAAACGGUGAAAACGUGUUCUCUUUCCCGUUUUCGAAAACGAAUUUUCGAAAACGAAAAAAAAAUUUGUGAAGAAAAUACAAAACGACUUUUUUGUCGUUUUGGGCGUUUUCAGUGUAAAACUUGAAAAAACUGAAAACGCGGGAAACACCUUUUUUUUUUUUUCAGAGGUGGUAUGGUGAUUCUCAAAAUUUCAAAAAAAAAAAAUUAAAAAUUAUUAUUUUAUAUAUAUAUAUAUAUAUAUAUAUAUAUAUAUAUAUAUAUUUAUUUAUUUAUUUAUUUAUUUAUUUUUUUUUUUGAGGUGAUCUUGUGGUGAUUCUUAAAAUUUCAAAAAAAAAAAAAUUCAUUUUUUUUGUUUUGAGAAACUAACAAAAAGAACGCAUUUUCAACAAUUUCAAAACAAACACUCAAAACACAAAACUCAAAAUGAAUUUAAAACUCAAAAUACAAAACUGAAACACAAAGAGAACACCCCCUUAACUUUUAAUGAGAAUGUUGCUUAUAACAUGAAUAGCUUUCAAAAAUAAGGUCUUGAUCUACAUUAAUACCACAGUGCAUAAUGUUUUCAGUCAUGCAAUUGUUCUUGUAGCCCUAAACUUUGAUUAUGCUUACUAUAAUUAGCGCCUCUCAUGUAAUAAAAAUGAAGAUUGCCGUACUUUGAGAGCUUGAAUACAUGUCUGAAGGUAUUUUAGUGUUAUUCAUAUAAUUAUCCUGGAUUAUUGCUCUUUGAUUUUGUAUUUUGGCAAUAUCUUUGACUCUUAGUUGGUCAAUUUCAUGUUGACUUUUUUUAAAAGGUAUGUAAUCGUUUUAAAUUCCAAAUUGGAUAGUUGGCAAUGCGCUGCUUGGUGUAAUUUUCAAACCAUUUUCAUUUAAAAAUUUCCAAUUGGUGUUACGGUAAAUAAUUGUUAAGCCACUAUCAUAUGGUUUUGUGUGUUAGUUUUUAUGAGUAUAUCAUAUUUGCAUUCGAGUUAACAAAGACAUCACAUAAAAAUGACAAACCCACAAUUCACGAUCUUAUAAUGUAUUUCAAGUUGUCAAUAUUUUACCUCAAAUUACUUAAGAAAUACAUAGGAACGAUGUCCAUUUUAGGUAUGGAGUUUAUGGGGGAGGAGGGUUGGGGCUAGCAAAUGAUGCUUUCUAUUUCAAGUUCUGUUGUGAUGUUACUUUGACAGUUUUCUUCUUGGGUAUUAUUUUUUUUAGUGUAAUAUGUGGUUCAAUUUGGUUUCAUUUUGCAAGUGCUUGGUUUUGAGAAGCCAAAUUGAUUUUCUGAUAUUUGGUUCAGUUUGCAAGUGCUUGAUUUUGUUCUCUUCUUCGUAUGCUAAUUUCGUGAAUCAUAGAGCUUCCCACGCUAUGCUUUUUCUUAUGCAUUUGUAGUUCUUAUUUUUCUAAACAAUGCUCAAGGUACACGUGCAAUCUUGAAAAUAAGUGUAUUAAGGCAAAAAUGAAGUUGCAUGGCACAAUCCUUAGUCUUGCAUUAAAAUUAACUGUUAGCUAGAUGCCAAAAUGAGUUGAACAAUUUUUGCCCUGUCAUGUUCAUGCCUACAUGUGAACUCUCUUUGUCUUCUAUAUAUAUUUAUUAUCCGUUGUUACCUUUUUGAUUUUUUUGUCCAAUUAUAUAAGAAUGCAGAUUCCUCAUGUUGUCGUUCUUAUACACAUUAAAUUAAUAUCGUUCAAUAAGAUAUUGCUACAUUAUUUAAUUACUCGGGGUUGCACAUUUCAAUGUUGGAAAACAUGAUGAAAUUAUUUGUCUUUGUGAUUUCGUAUAUUUAUUAAGUUAUUUUAUGUACUUAAUAGAUUCUUAUAUUAUUUGUCAUGUUCUUUUUUUCUUUUUCUUUUUUUUUAAUUCGUAGAUAACUUCAUUGCACCGAUACAAAAUUCAGGAGGAAGAUCACGUUUUGGCCCAGAUUUCACAGAUUAGCAACAUCAAAUAUAUAUCAGUUGUCCUGGACAAAUUCGAAACAAAGCAGAAGAUUAUGUUGAGGAAAGCUAUUUAGGACGUCGCGAAGUUGCUCGAGCUCAAAUUAUAUGCACAAUUAGUUCAUGAAAUGGCUAAUAGAUCAGUGAUUUACCAAAAACCUUUCAAGGCUUGGUUCAAGGUGAAUCAACGAUUUACAAGAUUUGGAAUGUCAGAGUUUGCACUAAUCACUAGCUUGAAGUGUGGUGAAUUGCCUAAAGGAUCGGCUUCCGACAACAUUCUAGAGAAAACCCGACUAUGGGACUAGAUGUUUACCAAUAGAGAACAGAUAACUUAUAGUGAUCUUGAGAAGGUUUUUCUGAAAUGUGUCAACCAUAACGCUCGUUACAACCUUGGGUUGGUACAAACUACUGAAGGUAUUUUUAAUUCGAGAGUCCGAAAUAUAGGGAUUUAUCCUGAAAAUCUCUUUAUUGUAGACGAAUUAGAUUUCUUCAAUGCCUACCCUUGGGGGACACUGUGCUUUAUACUUCUUAUCAAAUUACUGCUCCGUGGAUGGGAGAGAAAGGCGACUUGGCGAAGGUUAACAAUUGUGAUAGGAUAUCCUACACGUUGUGGGGAUUCCCUCUUGCUAUUUAGGCAUGUCCAUAUAUUUCAUUCAUAUUCGUUGCACAUUGUUAUUUAUAUCUAUAAAUGGUAACCACUAUUAUACAUGUGUUGCAGUUGUGGCGGUACGAGGUAAUCUCAGAGUUGAGAGCUUGAUUCACGAGCAAGAUUAGUGAUGGCCUUCCAAGGAUGUUGUGGUGAUCUACCACAAGACAACCUUAAUCGAGAACAUAUUCAGAUUUUUUUCGACAAGACACCUGUGAGCAUUUACAUAUACAACUACAUUUACGCUUACAACAUAUAUCAUAAUUUUCUUUGACAAGACACUUUCCUCCCUUUAUAGUUGCAUUUGUCGGUAACUUUGCGCCAUACUGUUGUAGAAGAAUUGUAGUUAUACUUUGCGACUUUACUUCUAUUCGAUGAUGUUGCUGACCCUAUUCUCGACAAUCUCGUCGUUCAAUCAACUGAAAUACAAGAUUGCUUACCAGAAGGCAAAGUGAUACACAAUGGAGAGAAUAGCAACCGAUGCAACAAAUCCAGGAGAGCUAACAAAGUGGGAUUAAUCUUCGGGAUUUCAAUGACAAUGAAGGUAGAGAAGAAGAGCAUUGUAAUCCACUCUAGGACUUUCCAUCCAGUUAUGGCUUGGAAAAUCGCGAACCAUGUAUAUAGAUGAGAUAAAGCCAUGUUGACUGAACAGAGAGAGUUCAUUGCAAUCAGGCUGGGCAAAUUGCGGAAAGAAAUGAACGCGAGGUUUAGUCGUAUUGAGCAGAAAAUGGGGGUCACGUGUGUAACAUGAAGGAGCAUGUGACUGAUUAGAUAAGUGUGAUCAAAUGCAGAUUCAAGGUGUGGUUACAAAAAUUGGGAAACAACAUGUGCGUGAAGAGUAUGGUGUAUUUGGUUGUGCUAACAAUGAUGGAGAUAUGUAUGUACUUGAUUACUAUGAUGAUUUGUCGUCUUCUAACACUAAAAUUGACGAAUAGCAUGUCGAGGCAACAAAAGUGUAAUCCUAUCAACGUCGAGGCAACCUAACUAGAUGCUGGCAACGUGGAUGAGUUGUCCAAAAAGUGCAGAUGUGAUUUCUACAAAUGCUCUACCGCCACCUCGACCUCCAUCCCUCGGGGUGAAGCUUUCAAGUGGUAGCACUUAGACUUUUUUCAUAUUGUCCGAUCGUAAAAAGGGUAAGAAAGGUAUGUAGUUAGUUCACAAUGUUGGUGGAGCAUGGUAUUGUGUGAUUGGGAAAGCAUUUAUAACCUCAUUUUGUAUACCAUCGUAAGGUAGAAUAUUUGGUUGAUGGAACAGUUCUCAUUGUUGAUGUAGAAUUAAAAUGGAGACGAGUAUUUAUUUCAGUCUAUACUUAUUGUUUUGGACUUAUAUUGUGC
RNAcentral lists this long non-coding RNA (5122 nucleotides) under Olea europaea subsp. europaea. The record is from RNAcentral. Lineage: Eukaryota; Viridiplantae; Streptophyta; Magnoliopsida; Lamiales; Oleaceae.